GUGGGGAAUAUUGCACAAUGGGCGAAAGCCUGAUGCAGCAACGCCGCGUGAGGGACGACGGCCUUCGGGUUGUAAACCUCUUUUAGUAGGGAAGAAGCGAAAGUGACGGUACCUGCAGAAAAAGCACCGGCUAACUACGUGCCAGCAGCCGCGGUAAUACGUAGGGUGCAAGCGUUAUCCGGAAUUAUUGGGCGUAAAGAGCUCGUAGGCGGUCUGUCGCGUCUGCUGUGAAAACUGGAGGCUCAACCUCCAGCCUGCAGUGGGUACGGGCAGAAUAGAGUGCGGUAGGGGAGAGUGGAAUUCCUGGUGUAGCGGUGUAAUGCGCAGAUAUCAGGAGGAACACCGAUGGCGAAGGCAGAUCUCUGGGCCGUAACUGACGCUGAGGAGCGAAAGCGUGGGGAGCGAACAGGAUUAGAUACCCGAGUAGUCC
This 430-nucleotide ribosomal RNA is filed under the name uncultured bacterium. Its description in RNAcentral is "partial 16S ribosomal RNA". It matches the Rfam family "Bacterial small subunit ribosomal RNA", at positions 354 to 796 of the family's 1533-position model. The record is from RNAcentral.